UAUGUUUGUUUUGGUCUUUUUUCUCUAAUACUAUAUGUUAUAGGUCAACUAUAUUUGGUGUAUGGAAAUAUUUUAUGAUCUCUAUGUCGGUUGCGCAGGAUUUAAUUGAACGUGACCUCAUUUUCACGGUUCAUUGCGCAUGUUAAGUUUUUGUGUUUUGAUCUAGUUUUCUUAAACUAUAAGUAAUAGGUCAACUUUAUUUGAUGUAUGGAAGCAUUGUUAGCUGUACAUGUUUGCCUGGCAUGGUGCAGCUGACCUGGACCUUAUUUUCAUGGUUCAUGGGUCUUUGUUUAGUUAUCUUGGUUAAUGUUUAGUUUAUAUGACAGUUGUAAUAGAGCUUUAUACUUAGGACUAUCAAAAUAAUAUAAAUGAUUAGUAAAGAAGGCGAGAAUUUUCAGCGUGUGCACUCUUGUGUUUCUGAGUUGUAAUUUUGAAUGAUUUGUCGUCGGUAGAAAUGUAUAUACUCCAAUUAAAAUAAUUGAAGAACAAGGAAGGAACAAGUGAAAUAUGAGAUGUAAUUCAUUAAUAAAAAACAAAAUGUAUCGCAUGUAAUGAUGAUGAAAUAUUAUACAGUUUUAAACAUUUAAUAAUGUCACACAUAAACGUGUUUAACACCUUCCUGGUGGCUGCCUGGACUGGUCGACGAAGAUACUGGUUUAAAUUCUCAACAACCAAAGCAUGGUAGGCUGACUCUGUGUACACUGAUGGGAAGAGAACAGUGACAUACCCCUUUAUAACAUUCUUUCUGUUGCAUAUUUGCUGAGCUUAUCACCCCGCCCCUGUAAGAGUAAUGAAUACGAUCCUGAUCUG
Molecule: long non-coding RNA, 810 nt
Filed under: Mytilus galloprovincialis (Mediterranean mussel)
Lineage: Eukaryota; Metazoa; Mollusca; Bivalvia; Mytilida; Mytilidae
Source: RNAcentral